RNAcentral lists this small RNA (144 nucleotides) under Bacteroides graminisolvens DSM 19988 = JCM 15093. RNAcentral's name for it is "GibS sRNA". It matches the Rfam family "GibS sRNA". From Rfam's summary of the family: A small RNA with a conserved region in the 5' region in gene clusters, related to carbon metabolism in Bacteroidetes. The record is from Rfam by way of RNAcentral. Lineage: Bacteria; Pseudomonadati; Bacteroidota; Bacteroidia; Bacteroidales; Bacteroidaceae.
GUGUUUUUCAUAGUAUUAGAUAAAAGAUUAGUAGUAAAAGAUUGUAUUCGCUUGGGAUAAGUAAAUACGUCGAAAACAGAAGAGUCUGUUUUUUUGAUAAAUGUGUUAUUAGCAUCGGUUCUUUCGGACCGAUGCUUUUUUCUU